AUUUUAAAAUUUUAUAAAUAUUGAUUCAAAUACAUCCACCAUAUAACCCAAUUCCAAAAUAAAACACGUUCUGUAAUUUCUUUACCCGGCCCAUGAUUGUUUUUUAAAGUAGUAAUUUUUAAAAUUUUAGAAUUAUUUUUUAUAUAUAAAAGUUUUGCAAAUUGUAUCAUUCUCUAAUACAUUUAUAUUUUAUAGUUUAAAUUAAAUUAAUUAAAAUUUAGAUAUCAAAUCUUAUAAGUUGAUUUUGAUUGGCUAUUAUUUUUGGAAAUUAAUAAUGUAUUUCGUUUUUUAAUUAAUUUA
This 300-nucleotide small RNA is filed under the name Arabidopsis thaliana (thale cress). RNAcentral's name for it is "ATSL217490". The record is from RNAcentral. Lineage: Eukaryota; Viridiplantae; Streptophyta; Magnoliopsida; Brassicales; Brassicaceae.